Molecule: transfer RNA, 72 nt
Filed under: Loxodonta africana (African savanna elephant)
Lineage: Eukaryota; Metazoa; Chordata; Mammalia; Proboscidea; Elephantidae
Rfam family: tRNA
About the family: Transfer RNA (tRNA) molecules are approximately 80 nucleotides in length. Their secondary structure includes four short double-helical elements and three loops (D, anti-codon, and T loops).
Source: Rfam by way of RNAcentral
GCCCUUGUGGCACAGUGUUUAAGUGCUCAGCUGCUAACUGAACGGUUGGUGCUUCAAACCCACUCAGUGGCG